CGUACACUCCUACGGGAGGCAGCAGUGGGGAAUUUUGGACAAUGGGCGAAAGCCUGAUCCAGCCAUGCCGCGUGCAGGAUGAAGGCCUUCGGGUUGUAAACUGCUUUUGUACGGAACGAAACGGCCUUUUCUAAUAAAGAGGGCUAAUGACGGUACCGUAAGAAUAAGCACCGGCUAACUACGUGCCAGCAGCCGCGGUAAUACGUAGGGUGCAAGCGUUAAUCGGAAUUACUGGGCGUAAAGCGUGCGCAGGCGGUUAUGUAAGACAGUUGUGAAAUCCCCGGGCUCAACCUGGGAACUGCAUCUGUGACUGCAUAGCUAGAGUACGGUAGAGGGGGAUGGAAUUCCGCGUGUAGCAGUGAAAUGCGUAGAUAUGCGGAGGAACACCGAUGGCGAAGGCAAUCCCCUGGACCUGUACUGACGCUCAUGCACGAAAGCGUGGGGAGCAAACAGGAUUAGAUACCCGAGUAGUCCC
This 475-nucleotide ribosomal RNA is filed under the name uncultured organism. RNAcentral's name for it is "partial 16S ribosomal RNA". It matches the Rfam family "Bacterial small subunit ribosomal RNA", at positions 330 to 797 of the family's 1533-position model. The record is from RNAcentral.